This is a long non-coding RNA of Neofelis nebulosa (Clouded leopard), 1496 nucleotides long. RefSeq lists it as uncharacterized. The record is from RefSeq and is a predicted model, not a curated record. The transcript has 7 exons. NCBI's taxonomy places the organism in Eukaryota, Metazoa, Chordata, Mammalia, Carnivora, Felidae.
UACUAGAUGGCUAUUAAAAGGAUGUGAUCGCUGCCAUUCUUGAUGCUCAAGGAUGGACGUCUUGUGAAAAAAGUCAAGUUGCAAAGUGUUUACUAACUAGUGUGUUUAAUGUGGGUGAACAUAACAUGUAAUCCGGGCACCUACAUAAACGAACGUGGAGUAAGAAGCAGAAGGACACAUAUCAAACAACAGUGGUUACAGCAAAGCAACAGGAUUCGAGAGGUGCUGUAACAGCCAAUCAGCUACAAGGUGACAUCAUCUUAUGGCAGCUACUGCCAGAUGAAAGGAACCUACUUUCCUAGGUGGAAAAACCACCUAUAACUAUCUUUGGAAGUAGAAGAUAUUCUUCACAUAUGUGGCUAAUUAUUAUUUAAAACCUAAAGUCUAAGUAAAUGCCGCCCAAUAAAAGCAAACACAAUCUCACAACCUUACAAAAAGAAGAGCAACCACAAAAUGGAGUAAGUGCCAGAUAUUAACCUGAAACCUCUUUGAAUUCCAAUGCGGUCUCAUUCUACUUGAGAAGCCAAAGACGAUCAUGCUGGUGAGCUCCUACAUCUAUGUCUCUUCACCAGUAUCAAGUCUACAGAGUCCUUCCCAUUCCGUACUACCCGGCAGAGAAGCACCGUGGAGAAGAACAACACGAGCACAGCACUGAGGAAAGAACUGUGGACCGGAAGUCAGAAAGCCUCAGCUUCUCACCAACUACCUGUCUCUGCUCUGGUCUCAGACUCCUGAGCUGUCGAGUGACUAGCCCGCUUAGAGGUUGGAGAAACAAGAAGAAUGGACACGAUGAAACAUCAUAACUUGGGCUAUGCUUCAAAAGAAUACAGGACAAGAGUAAGUAGCUUCCAUGUCCCUGGAGGCUUCCAUGGCUCGCUGUGAUUACCAUCUAUCUAUCCCGAUAUUUCAUCACUGAUUAGCAAAAUCGAAAUUUAAAAGCAAUACAAGGAGGUUGGAUAUAAAUCGGCAAAAACAAAACCAAACAAAAAACAAAAGGCAAAAAGAACCAAUCAACAAACCAAAAACCAAGGAUUACCAGGAGCACCUGCUCAGAAUGACUCAAAGCAGUGCUCGAAGAUUGUGCUCGUUGCCGGGCCUGGGGGACACACAGGUACUCUGCUCAGAUCCCCUCAGAACCCUCUUCAGGGUAUACCAGCAACCUUCUUUGUAGGGUUGCCCUUGGGCUACUGGAGUCACUUCCAGCUGGAAGGUUGGAGAUUCCAGGAGUUCACAUCUCUGAAGGUGACCAGGAGUUGGCCACUGACUAGUUGAGAGUGUACGAAGCCCAGCUCCUCAGCCUCAAGACUGGAUGAACUCAGAGGUGUAAAUUACGCCCCAGAACUCCCCACAGGAUCAGACUGACUCCAGGAAUUCAUCUAAAAUUGUAUACUUGUCUGUCUGCCUCCUCUUGCCUGUCCUGCUUCCCCACUGCCUUGCUAGUCUGUCCUGGGAGCACUUCCUUAAUAAACCUCUUCCACUUGAAUCUGUGGCUCAGU